This 923-nucleotide ribosomal RNA is filed under the name uncultured type I methanotroph. Its description in RNAcentral is "bacterial SSU rRNA". It matches the Rfam family "Bacterial small subunit ribosomal RNA", at positions 77 to 997 of the family's 1533-position model. The record is from RNAcentral. Lineage: Bacteria; Pseudomonadati; Pseudomonadota; Gammaproteobacteria; Methylococcales; Methylococcaceae.
CCUUCGGGAGCUGACGAGUGGCGGACGGGUGAGUAACGCGUAGGAAUCUGCCUCAUAGUGGGGGACAACGUGGGGAAACUCACGCUAAUACCGCAUACGCCCUACGGGGGAAAGCGGGGGCUCUUCGGACCUCGCGCUAUGAGAUGAGCCUGCGUUAGAUUAGCUAGUUGGUAGGGUAAAGGCCUACCAAGGCGACGAUCUAUAGCUGGUCUGAGAGGACGAUCAGCCACACUGGGACUGAGACACGGCCCAGACUCCUACGGGAGGCAGCAGUGGGGAAUAUUGGACAAUGGGCGCAAGCCUGAUCCAGCAAUACCGCGUGUGUGAAGAAGGCCCUAGGGUUGUAAAGCACUUUCAAUAGGGAGGAAAACCUGCCGGUCAAUACCCGGUAGCUUGACAUUACCUAUAGAAGAAGCACCGGCUAACUCCGUGCCAGCAGCCGCGGUAAUACGGAAGGUGCAAGCGUUAAUCGGAAUUACUGGGCGUAAAGCGUGCGUAGGCGGUUCGUUAAGUCAGAUGUGAAAGCCCCGGGCUUAACCUGGGAACUGCAUUUGAAACUGGCGGACUAGAGUUGAGUAGAGGGGAGUGGAAUUUCAGGUGUAGCGGUGAAAUGCGUAGAUAUCUGAAGGAACACCAGUGGCGAAGGCGACUCCCUGGACUCAAACUGACGCUGAGGUACGAAAGCGUGGGUAGCAAACAGGAUUAGAUACCCUGGUAGUCCACGCUGUAAACGAUGUCAACUAGCCGUUGGUCCUAUUUACAGGAUUAGUGGCGCAGCUAACGCAUUAAGUUGACCGCCUGGGGAGUACGGCCGCAAGGUUAAAACUCAAAUGAAUUGACGGGGGCCCGCACAAGCGGUGGAGCAUGUGGUUUAAUUCGAUGCAACGCGAAGAACCUUACCUACCCUUGACAUCCAUAGAAUC